This 1485-nucleotide ribosomal RNA is filed under the name uncultured bacterium. RNAcentral describes it as "bacterial SSU rRNA". It matches the Rfam family "Bacterial small subunit ribosomal RNA". The record is from RNAcentral.
GAUAAACGCUAGCGGUGCGCCUAACACAUGCAAGUCGAGCGAUCGAACUGGACUGAUCACCCUUCGGGGUGAGAGGACCAGUGACGGAGCGGCGGACUGGUGAGUAACGCGUAGCCAACCUACCCCCUUGACGGAGAUAACUACCUGAAAGGUAGCUAAUACCCGAUAUUGCUCGAGAUCGAAAGAUCUUGAGCCAAAGGCGGUCUUGCCGUCGCAAGAGGAGGGGGCUGCGUCCUAUUAGCUUGUUGGUGGGGUAAUAGCCCACCAAGGCGAUGAUGGGUAGCUGGUCUGAGAGGAUGGCCAGCCACAUUGGGACUGAGAUACGGCCCAGACUUCUACGGGAGGCAGCAGUGGGGAAUCUUUCGCAAUGGGCGAAAGCCUGACGGAGCGACACCGCGUGGGGGAUGAAGGCUUUCGGGUUGUAAACCUCUUUUCUGGGGGAAGAAUAAGGGCGGGAGGAAAUGCCCGUCCGAUGACGGUACCCCAGGAAUAAGCAUCGGCUAACUUCGUGCCAGCAGCCGCGGUAAGACGAAGGAUGCAAGCGUUAUCCGGAAUUACUGGGCGUAAAGGGCGCCUAGGCGGCUGAGUAAGUCACCCGUGAAAGCCCUCAGCUCAACUGAGGAAUGUCGAGUGAAACUGCUCAGCUUGGGUGCAGGAGAGGAGGGUGGAACUCACAGAGUAGCGGUGGAAUGCGUAGAUACUGUGAGGUACCCCGAUGGCGAAGGCAACCCUCUGGCUGCUACUGACGCUGAAGCGCGAAAGCGUGGGGAGCAAAGGGGAUUAGAUACCCCCGUAGUCCACGCCGCAAACGAUGUUCACUGGGUGUCGGUCGCUAAUACAGAUCGGUGCCGGAGCUAACGCGUUAAGUGAACCGCCUGGGGAGUACGGCCGCAAGGCUAAAACUCAAGAGAAUUGACGGGGCCCCGCACAAGCGGUGGAGCACGUGGUUUAAUUCGAUGAUAAGCGAAGAACCUCACCUGGGUUUGACAUGCUAGUGGUAGGAACCGGAAACGGGGACGACCCUUGCCUUCGGGUAAGGGAGCUAGUACAGGUGAUGCAUGGCUGUCGUCAGUUCGUGUCGUGGGACGUUGGGUUAAGUCCCGAAACGAGCGCAACCCCUGUCGUCAGUUGCCAGCGGGUAAAGCCGGGGACUCUGACGAGACUGCCGGUGAAUAGCCGGAGGAAGGAGGGGAUGACGUCAAGUCAUCAUGUCCCUUAUGCCCAGGGCGACACACAUGCUACAAUGGGGGGUACAAAGGGCUGCAAUGCCGUAAGGCUGAGCCAAUCCCAAAAAACCUUCCUCAGUUCGGAUUGAGGUCUGUAACUCGACCUCAUGAAGCCGGAAUCGCUAGUAAUCGCAGGUCAGCCACACUGCGGUGAAUAUGUACUCGGGGCUUGUACACACCGCCCGUCACACCAACCGAGUGGGGGGUACUUGAAGUCGCUCUUUAUGGAGCGCCGAGGGUAACCUCCGCAAGAGGGGUG